Molecule: ribosomal RNA, 492 nt
Filed under: uncultured bacterium
Lineage: Bacteria
Description: partial 16S ribosomal RNA
Rfam family: Bacterial small subunit ribosomal RNA
Source: RNAcentral
AGUGAACGCUGGCGGUAUGCCUAACACAUGCAAGUCGAACGGCAGCACAGUAAGAGCUUGCUCUUACGGGUGGCGAGUGGCGGACGGGUGAGGAAUACAUCGGAAUCUUCUUUUUCGUGGGGGAUAACGUAGCGAAACUUACGCUCAUACCGCAUCCGACCUACGUGUGAAAGCAGGGGAUCUUCGGACCUUGUGCGAUUGAAUGAUCCGAUGUCGGAUUAGCUAGUUGGCGGGGUAAAGACCAACCAAGGCGACGAUCCGUAGCUGGUGUGAGAGGAUGAGCACCCACACUAGAAGUGAGACACGGUCAAGGUUCCUAAGGGAGGCAGCAGAGGCGAACAUUAGACAAUGGGGGCAAGCAUGAUACAGCCAUAGCGCGUGUGAGAAGAAGGCCUUCGGUUUGUAAAGCCGUUUUGUUGGGAAAGAAAAGCAGCAGGCUAAUACCCCGCUGUUGUGACGGUACCCAAAGAAUAAGCACCGGCUAACUUCGUG